This 527-nucleotide ribosomal RNA is filed under the name uncultured bacterium. RNAcentral's name for it is "bacterial SSU rRNA". It matches the Rfam family "Bacterial small subunit ribosomal RNA", at positions 777 to 1301 of the family's 1533-position model. The record is from RNAcentral.
AAUAGAUACCCUGGUAGUCCACGCCGUAAACGAUGAGUGCUAAGUGUUAGAGGGUUUCCGCCCUUUAGUGCUGCAGCAAACGCAUUAAGCACUCCGCCUGGGGAGUACGGUCGCAAGACUGAAACUCAAAGGAAUUGACGGGGGCCCGCACAAGCGGUGGAGCAUGUGGUUUAAUUCGAAGCAACGCGAAGAACCUUACCAGGUCUUGACAUCCUUAUGACUUCUCUAGAGAUAGAGCUUUCCCUUCGGGGACAUAAGUGACAGGUGGUGCAUGGUUGUCGUCAGCUCGUGUCGUGAGAUGUUGGGUUAAGUCCCGCAACGAGCGCAACCCUUGAUCUUAGUUGCCAGCAUUCAGUUGGGCACUCUAAGGUGACUGCCGGUGACAAACCGGAGGAAGGUGGGGAUGACGUCAAAUCAUCAUGCCCCUUAUGACCUGGGCUACACACGUGCUACAAUGGAUGGUACAAAGGGUAGCGAGACCGCGAGGUUUAGCCAAUCCCAUAAAACCCAUUCUCAGUUCGGAUUGC